RNAcentral lists this ribosomal RNA (1479 nucleotides) under uncultured Mycoplasma sp. Its description in RNAcentral is "bacterial SSU rRNA". It matches the Rfam family "Bacterial small subunit ribosomal RNA". Lineage: Bacteria; Bacillati; Mycoplasmatota; Mollicutes; Mycoplasmatales; Mycoplasmataceae. The record is from RNAcentral.
GUUUGAUCCUGGCUCAGGAUGAACGCUGGCUGUGUGCCUAAUACAUGCAUGUCGAACGAAGUACUUGUACUUAGUGGCAAAUGGGUGAGUAACACGUACCUAACUUGCCUUUUAGAUUGGGACAACCACGGGAAACUGUGGCUAAUACCAAAUAUGUAUAAAAAACAUAUGUUUUUUAUAUGAAAGGAAGCGAUUGCUUUGCUAAAAGAUAGGGGUGCGCUACAUUAGCUUGUUGGUAGGGUAAAAGCCUACCAAGGCUAUGAUGUAUAGUGGGAUCGAGAGGUUGAACCACCACACUGGGAUUGAGAUACGGCCCAGACUCCUACGGGAGGCAGCAGUAGGGAAUAUUCCACAAUGAGCGAAAGCUUGAUGGAGCGACACAGCGUGUAGGAUGAAUGCCUUAGGGUUGUAAACUACUGUUAUAAGAGAAGAAUAGCUAAAAAAGGAAAUGUUUUUAGUCUGACGGUAUCUUAUCAGAAAGCAGUUGCAAACUAUGUGCCAGCAGCAGCGGUAAUACAUAGACUGCAAGCGUUAUCCGGAAUUAUUGGGCGUAAAGCAUUCGUAGGUUGUUUAUUAAGUUUGGUGUUAAAAACAAAAGCUCAACUUUUGUUUGCAUUAAAUACUAAUAGACUAGAGUUAUAAAGAGGUUAAUGGAACUCCAUAUGAAGCGGUGGAAUGCGUAGAUAUGUGGAAGAACACCAAUGGCGAAGGCAAUUAACUGGAUAUACACUGACACUGAGGGAUGAAAGCGUGGGGAGCAAACAGGAUUAGAUACCCUGGUAGUCCACGCUGUAAACGAUGUUCGUUAAUCGGUGGUGAAAUCACUGAUACAGCUAACGCAAUAAACAAACCGCCUGAGUAGUAUGCUCGCAAGAGUGAAACUUAAAGGAAUUGACGGGGAGCCGCACAAGCGGUGGAGCAUGUGGUUUAAUUCGAAGCUACGCGAAGCACCUUACCAACAUUUGACAUCUUUUGCAAAGGCAUAGAGAUAUGCUGGAGGAUAACAAAAAGACAGGUGGUGCAUGGCCGUCGUCAGCUCGUGCCGUGAGGUGUUGGGUUAAGUCCUAUAACGAGCGCAACCCUUUUCUUUAGUUACUAACAUUUAGUUGAGCACUCUAAAGAUACUGCCUAGGUAACUAGGAGGAAGGAGGGGAUGAGGUAGGUCAUCAUGCCUCUUACAUGUUGGGUUACACACGUGCUACAAUGGCAAAUACAAAGAGAAGCAAAAUCGUGAGGUGGAGCAAAUCUGUAAAAUUUGUCUCAGUUCGGAUUGGAGUCUGCAACUCGACUCCAUGAAGUAGGAAUCGCUAGUAAUCCUAGAUCAUCAAUGCUAGGGUGAAUACGUUCUCGGCUCUUGUACACACCGCCCGUCAAACCAUGGGAGUUGGUAAUACCCAAAGCUAGUUAGUUAACCAUUUAUUUGGAGGCAACUAUCUAAGGUAGGAUCAAUGACUGGGGUUAAGUCGUAACAAGGUAGCC